This 546-nucleotide ribosomal RNA is filed under the name uncultured bacterium. RNAcentral's name for it is "bacterial LSU rRNA". It matches the Rfam family "Bacterial large subunit ribosomal RNA", at positions 469 to 1003 of the family's 2925-position model. The record is from RNAcentral.
AGUACUACUGAUCGACCGAUAGUGAACUAGUACCGCGAGGGAAAGGUGAAAAGAACCCCGGCUAGGGGAGUGAAAUAGUACCUGAAACCGUGUGCCUACAAGCAGUGGGAGCACUAUGGCCGUAAGGCAAUGUGUGACCACGUACCUUUUGCAUAAUGGGCCUGCGAGUUACGUUACGUGGCCAGGUUAAGCCGAUAGGUGGAGCCGAAGCGAAAGCGAGUCCUAACAGGGCGAAUUGAGUCGCGUGGCGUAGACCCGAAACCUUAGCGAUCUACCCAUGUCCAGGUUGAAGGGCGGGUAACACCGCCUGGAGGACCGAACUCACUCAAGUUGAAAAUUGAGGGGAUGAGGUGUGGGUAGGAGUGAAAGGCUAAUCAAGCUGGGAUAUAGCUGGUUCUCCCCGAAAUAUAUUGAGGUAUAGCCUCGGACGAAUUGCGACGCAGGUAAAGCACUGAAUGGGCUAGGGGUCCUACCAGAUUACCAAACCCAAUCAAACUACUGAAUGGCGUUGACAAGUAUCCGGGAGUCAGGCUGCGGGAGAUAAAG